GCCCUUUUCCGGUUGAUCCUGCCGGAGGCUAUUGCUAUUGGAAUUCGAUUUAGCCAUGCUAGUCGCACGGGUCAGACCCGUGGCGAAAAGCUCAGUAACACGUGGCCAAACUACCCUGUGGACGAGGACACUCUCGGGAAACUGAGGCUAAUCCUUGAUAGGACUUCCAUCCUGGAAUGGAAGAAGUCUGAAACGUUCAGGCGCCACAGGAUGUGGCUGCGGCCGAUUAGGUAGACGGUGGGGUAACGGCCCACCGUGCCAGUAAUCGGUACGGGUGAUGAAAGUCAGAGCCCGGAGACGGUAUCUGAGACAAGAUACCGGGCCCUACGGGGCGCAGCAGGCGCGAGACCUUUACACUGCACGACAGUGCGAUAGGGGAAUUCCAAGUGCGAGGGCAUACAGUCCUCGCUUUUCUUGACCGUAAGAAGGUCAAAGAAUAAGGGCUGGGCAAGACCGGUGCCAGCCGCCGCGGUAAUACCGGCAGCCCGAGUGAUGGCCAAUAUUAUUGGGCCUAAAGCGUUCGUAGCCGGCCGGACAAGUCUGUUGGGAAAUCCACGUGCUUAACGCGUGGGCGUCCAGCGGAAACUGUCCGGCUUGGGGCCGGAGGACUC
RNAcentral lists this ribosomal RNA (611 nucleotides) under uncultured archaeon. RNAcentral describes it as "bacterial SSU rRNA". It matches the Rfam family "Archaeal small subunit ribosomal RNA", at positions 1 to 609 of the family's 1478-position model. The record is from RNAcentral.